AGUGAACGCUGGCGGUAGGCCUAACACAUGCAAGUCGAACGGCAGCCCAGUAAGAGCUUGCUCUUACGGGUGGCGAGUGGCGGACGGGUGAGGAAUACAUCGGAAUCUACUUUUUCGUGGGGGAUAACGUAGGGAAACUUACGCUAAUACCGCAUACGACCUACGGGUGAAAGCAGGGGAUCUUCGGACCUUGCGCGAUUGAAUGAGCCGAUGUCGGAUUAGCUAGUUGGCGGGGUAAAGGCCCACCAAGGCGACGAUCCGUAGCUGGUCUGAGAGGAUGAUCAGCCACACUGGAACUGAGACACGGUCCAGACUCCUACGGGAGGCAGCAGUGGGGAAUAUUUGACAAUGGGCGCAAGCCUGAUCCAGCCAUACCGCGUGGGUGAAGAAGGCCUUCGGGUUGUAAAGCCCUUUUGUUGGGAAAGAAAAGCAGCAGGUUAAUACCCCGCUGUUCUGACGGUACCCAAAGAAUAAGCACCGGCUAACUUCGUG
This 492-nucleotide ribosomal RNA is filed under the name uncultured bacterium. RNAcentral describes it as "partial 16S ribosomal RNA". It matches the Rfam family "Bacterial small subunit ribosomal RNA", at positions 29 to 507 of the family's 1533-position model. The record is from RNAcentral.